GACGAACGCUGGCGGCGUGCUUAACACAUGCAAGUCGAACGGUGACGAAUGGAGCUUGCUCUGUUCUGAUCAGUGGCGAACGGGUGAGUAACACGUGAGUAACCUGCCCCUGACUCUGGAAUAACUUCGGGAAACCGAAGCUAAUACCGGAUAUGACACAGAGCCGCAUGGUUUCUGUGUGGAAAGUUUUUCGGUUGGGAUGGACUCGCGGCCUAUCAGCUUGUUGGUGAGGUAAUGGCUCACCAAGGCGACGACGGGUAGCCGGCCUGAGAGGGCGACCGGCCACACUGGGACUGAGACACGGCCCAGACUCCUACGGGAGGCAGCAGUGGGGAAUAUUGCACAAUGGGCGAAAGCCUGAUGCAGCGACGCCGCGUGAGGGAUGAAGGCC
RNAcentral lists this ribosomal RNA (391 nucleotides) under uncultured bacterium. RNAcentral describes it as "bacterial SSU rRNA". It matches the Rfam family "Bacterial small subunit ribosomal RNA", at positions 28 to 416 of the family's 1533-position model. The record is from RNAcentral.